AUGAAAUGAAAACCAAAUUAAAUGCAAUUCACAAAGCCAUGUGCCAUGUGCUCAUGACCGGCCAAACCUAGAGAGUUUCUAGAAUGUUUCACUCAAAUAUGCUUUCUACACUACUCUAAUUACUAAGCACCCCUAAUGGGCCUUUAUGCAACAUGUACAAAGCUUUCUCUCUUCCAUCCGUGGCUUCAUUCAAUUGGGCUUGAAUAUGCUUAGCCAUUGACCUUGUGAUAGGUCCUAGACGGUCUAGGUCUCCUCCUAGACGCUCCAUGGGUAGCCUUUCCUCUUGACGUCCUAGACGCUCCAUCCUUCUAGCUAGACGCUCAUCAUGGUCUAGACGCUCUUCAUGGUCUAGUGUUGGGCUUUGGCUUUCAUGGUUAGAUGUGCUUGGCCCUCUUCCAUCAUUAUCAACAGCUAAUAUGUAACACCCAAAAUAUUGUGUAUUGAGUUACUUGUUAGUUGUUACGGGUUCUAUGCUUUCAAAGACAAUUCAAAAGAAAGGUGUAAUGAUAUGUAGGUAUUAUAUAUGUAUUUACUAAAAAUCAUUUGUAAUUUAUUUAUUUACAUUCCUAUCUUACUCUCUAUUACAUAUUUCAUUCACCUCAUCAUUUCUUUUA
RNAcentral lists this long non-coding RNA (614 nucleotides) under Phaseolus vulgaris (common bean). RNAcentral describes it as "long non-coding RNA (PVUL_LNC001627)". Lineage: Eukaryota; Viridiplantae; Streptophyta; Magnoliopsida; Fabales; Fabaceae. The record is from RNAcentral.